RNAcentral lists this ribosomal RNA (495 nucleotides) under uncultured bacterium. RNAcentral's name for it is "partial 16S ribosomal RNA". It matches the Rfam family "Bacterial small subunit ribosomal RNA", at positions 28 to 507 of the family's 1533-position model. The record is from RNAcentral.
GACGAACGCUGGCGGCGUGCCUAAUACAUGCAAGUAGAACGCUGAAGGAGGAGCUUGCUUCUCUGGAUGAGUUGCGAACGGGUGAGUAACGCGUAGGUAACCUGCCUGGUAGCGGGGGAUAACUAUUGGAAACGAUAGCUAAUACCGCAUAAGAGUAGAUGCUGCAUGACAUUUGCUUAAAAGGUGCACUUGCAUCACUACCAGAUGGACCUGCGUUGUAUUAGCUAGUUGGUGGGGUAACGGCUCACCAAGGCGACGAUACAUAGCCGACCUGAGAGGGUGAUCGGCCACACUGGGACUGAGACACGGCCCAGACUCCUACGGGAGGCAGCAGUAGGGAAUCUUCGGCAAUGGACGGAAGUCUGACCGAGCAACGCCGCGUGAGUGAAGAAGGUUUUCGGAUCGUAAAGCUCUGUUGUAAGAGAAGAACGAGUGUGAGAGUGGAAAGUUCACACUGUGACGGUAUCUUACCAGAAAGGGACGGCUAACUACGUG